AUGUCCACGACUCGAAUAUCAUGCCCUUACAUUUUGAAAUUACACCAAAGCCAAGCCAAUUCUUGUAAAUACCUCAGUGAACACAUAAUUGGACCUAGCACAAAAUCAUCAUUAUAUCAAUUCUCUACCAACCAAAACAGUUCUAAAACCCUUGCCAAAACUUGCGCCAAACUUGAAUCAAAAGAAACCUGCAAAAAGGUCAGUUUCAGUGUCCUCCAAACUUGUGCUUACAUCAAACAGGCUGCAACAUCAGUACCUAACAGAAAUAGAGAAAAUCGAUUCAUUAAAACCAGUUCAGCUACC
This is a non-coding RNA of Vicia faba (fava bean), 303 nucleotides long. The record is from the annotation of a GenBank genome assembly. Lineage: Eukaryota; Viridiplantae; Streptophyta; Magnoliopsida; Fabales; Fabaceae.